GAUAAAGUGAAGGCUAUGUUGGCUUUCUUUGUGGCUUCUGACAGAUUUAAAAAAAAAUUUUUGUGAUAUUCGAGUUUUGAUUUUUGUGAACCCGGCACAAGCUAAGAAUCCGUUCAGGAGCAUACGCCGGAAAACAAACCUCAUUCCUUCCUUCCUUCCUUCAACACUUUUCCCGGUUUAUUUGAAUCGUUUUUCGAUGAACAUGAGGGAAAACGUUGUCAUUGCUUUUGUACGUAAAUAUCUGGUGCUUACUGAUAUAUUACUGAAAAGAUUGCACUUAAGAGCUUUAUUUGAAAGAAAGCAACUAUCUUAUUGUUUGUUGACUUCCAAGAUUGUGUUGUCAUGAACCUAAUGACAUGCUAAUGAGAAAAGCUGAUAAAUCAUCACAUGUUUUGGAAUAAAAGUGGCAACGAUAAGAAAGGUUUGACUUUUCAAAGACCCGCAAUCCUAAGUUCAAAUUACAACAUAUCUCGAUGGAAUCGAGAACCAGGAAAUAAGAAAUUCUCCAAUACAUCUGUUUAGGAAUUUUUUAUCACGCUAUAAUUUUUAUUACUUACUAGUGUAUAUGUGUGAGUAUUGUUACAUACAAAAAAGAGGAAAUUUUUCUUAUGUCUCAUGUUACAAAACAUUCUUCCAAAAAUUGCAUUCACAUUUUUUAAUUUUCAUUCAUUUAUUAAAGAAACUUCAUUUUAGUCAUAUAUGGUCAAAGACAUUUAAAUUAUAUUCACCGUGGGAAUUUUAUUGUCAAAUUGGAAUUAGAGUAAUGUCUCGUUCCACUGAUGUGCAGAAAAAAUUGCUUUAAAAAUGCAAUUUCUCAUUGACCAUUUAAUUCAGAAG
Argiope bruennichi is the source of this 837-nucleotide long non-coding RNA. RefSeq lists it as uncharacterized. The transcript has 3 exons. The record is from RefSeq and is a predicted model, not a curated record. Lineage: Eukaryota; Metazoa; Arthropoda; Arachnida; Araneae; Araneidae.